GACGAACGCUGGCGGCGUGCCUAAUACAUGCCAGUUGAGCGAUGAAGGUUGGUGCUUGCACCAAUUUGAAGAGCAGCGAACGGGUGAGUAACGCGUGGGGAAUCUGCCUUUGAGCGGGGGACAACAUUUGGAAACGAAUGCUAAUACCGCAUAACAACUUUAAACGUAAGUUUUAAGUUUGAAAGAUGCAAUUGCAUCACUCAAAGAUGAUCCCGCGUUGUAUUAGCUAGUUGGUGAGGUAAAGGCUCACCAAGGCGAUGAUACAUAGCCGACCUGAGAGGGUGAUCGGCCACAUUGGGACUGAGACACGGCCCAAACUCCUACGGGAGGCAGCAGUAGGGAAUCUUCGGCAAUGGACGAAAGUCUGACCGAGCAACGCCGCGUGAGUGAAGAAGGUUUUCGGAUCGUAAAACUCUGUUGGUAGAGAAGAACGUUGGUGAGAGUGGAAAGCUCAUCAAGUGACGGUAACUACCCAGAAAGGGACGGCUAACUACGUG
This 497-nucleotide ribosomal RNA is filed under the name uncultured bacterium. RNAcentral's name for it is "partial 16S ribosomal RNA". It matches the Rfam family "Bacterial small subunit ribosomal RNA", at positions 28 to 507 of the family's 1533-position model. The record is from RNAcentral.